Paramuricea clavata is the source of this 673-nucleotide non-coding RNA. NCBI's taxonomy places the organism in Eukaryota, Metazoa, Cnidaria, Anthozoa, Malacalcyonacea, Plexauridae. The record is from the annotation of a GenBank genome assembly.
GCUCUUUCUAGCUGUGGUGAUUUAUUUGCAUCAAGGCCGGAUUUUGAGGGGAGGCAUGGCGAGGUGCGCACCUCCCCUGAGAUCGUUUUGCACCUCCCCUGAGAAUUUUUGCACCUCUCCUGAAAGGUCAUGCACCUCCCCUUGGGAAUGUUUCAAUGAUGGAACAAAGUGAAAAUGUGAUGGUUGCUUAGGAUCAGUGUUAAGUACCCUUUAAAUGCAAUGUUUUGAUAGAAACUUUGUAGCAAUUGUAUAAUGAAGGGCAAGAUUGGAGUCAUACAGUCAUGAUUCAUUAAUACACUGGUACAUAUGUACACUACAUGCAUACCUCACCUCGUUGAUAUUGGCCUGUUCUACAAUAACCUAACUUUCCAUGGGAGUUGUCAGCUAGACCGCUGCACCUCCCCUAAAAUUUUUUCCGCCUCCCCCACUAUUUUCACCAAAAUCCGGCCUUGAUUUGCAUCUCUUUGCCUAGUUUUAAAAUUAGUCUAUAAUGGGAAUUGUCUAUUGUUAAUGUUAACAUAAGAGACUUUUUAUUUGGCUUCCAUUUAUGAAUAUUAAAGGUCUAUAAACAUUGUUAUUUGUUGUUUUGUGAUAAUUUUUAAAACUACUGUAAUGUUUUUUCAAACUGGUAAAUCUUUUCAAAGCCCCCCUUCUUUCGUCUCUCUGUAUUUUU